CCUACGGGUGGCAGCAGUGGGGAAUAUUGGGCAAUGGGCGCAAGCCUGACCCAGCAACGCCGCGUGAAGGAAGAAGGCUUUCGGGUUGUAAACUUCUUUUAAGAGGGAAGAGCAGAAGACGGUACCUCUUGAAUAAGCCACGGCGAACUACGUGCCAGCAGCCGCGGUAAUACGUAGGUGGCAAGCGUUGUCCGGAUUUACUGGGUGUAAAGGGCGUGUAGCCGGGCUGACAAGGCAGGUGUGAAAUCCGGGGGCUCAACCCCCGAACUGCAGUUGAAACUGUUGGUCUGGAGUAUCGGAGAGGCAGGCGGAAUGCCUGGUGUAGCGGUGAAAUGCGUAGAUAUUAGGAGGAACACCAGUGGCGAAGGCGGCCUGCUGGACGAAAACUGACGGUGAGGCGUGAAAGCGUGGGGAGCAAACAGGAUUAGAUACCCGAGUAGUC
Molecule: ribosomal RNA, 442 nt
Filed under: uncultured bacterium
Lineage: Bacteria
Description: partial 16S ribosomal RNA
Rfam family: Bacterial small subunit ribosomal RNA
Source: RNAcentral